This 1145-nucleotide long non-coding RNA is filed under the name Ananas comosus (pineapple). RNAcentral's name for it is "long non-coding RNA (ACOM_LNC030232)". The record is from RNAcentral. Lineage: Eukaryota; Viridiplantae; Streptophyta; Magnoliopsida; Poales; Bromeliaceae.
CUCUAGUUAUAUGUGCUAGGGUGAGGAUCUGACUAAGCCACAAGGUAUUACGUUAAGGUUCGUUGGAUUUGAUUUGAAUGAACUCUAAGUAUAUAUAUUAGGGCUCGAUUGAAUAUGAAUUUCACUCUAGAUAGAUAUGCUAGAGCAAAAGAUUAAUUAGGCCCCAAGCAUAUGUGUUAGGACUAGUCGGGCUUGAUUUGACUUCCACUAUAAGUAUAUGUGUUAGAGUAAAAGAUUGACUAAACCCUAAGUACAUGUGUUAGGAUUAGUCAAAUUUGAUUCGACUUCCACUCUAGUUAUAUGUGCUAGAGCAAAAAGGUUGAGUAGACCCUAAGUAUAUGUAUAAGGUUAGUCGGAUGAACUCUAAGUAUAUGUGUUAGAAUUCGAAUGAAUUUGAUAUAAUUUGACUGAAUUCUAAGUAUAUAAUUUAGAAGUCUGUCAAUUUGUAGAUGAUUUUGCCUUAAUUAUAUGUGCUAAAGUGCUGGAGUUGACUUAGCCCUAAGUAUAUGUAUUAGGGUUAGUCGAUUUUGUAUUUAAUUUUUACUCUAGAUAUAUGUGCUAGAGCGAAAAAAAGAUUCAUGAUGAACUUAGUGCAUGGUCAAGGAAUUUGGUAUAUAAUUUAUGAGCUUUGGUUCAUGAAAUUGGUUCAUAGUUCAUGAGAUUUGGGAUUCGGUUCAUGAUCCAUGAGAUUUGUGUAUGGGAUUUGGUGUAUGGGAUUUGGUUCAUGAUUUAUAAAUUUUGGUUCAUGAGAUUUGAUGUAUGGAAUUUGAUUCAUGAAAUUUGGUUCAUGAGAUUUGAUGUAUAGUGUAUGAAAUUGGUUCAUGAAAAUUGGUUCAUAGUUCAUGAGAUUCGGUUCACGGUUCAUGAGACUUAGGUUCAUGGUUCAUAAGAUAUGGCUUAUGAGAUUUGGUGUAUAGCUCAUAGGAUUUCGUGUAUGAGAUUUGGUGUAUGGCUCAUAAAAUUUGGUGUUUGAUUCAUGAACUUGGUGUAUGGUUCAUGAGAUUUGGUAUAUGAUUCAUGAGAUUUAGAUAUAUUUUGGUGUAUUAUUUAUGGACUGGAUUUGGAUUGGUUUGGAUUUUAUUUGUGGACUGGAUUUGGAUUGGGCUCGGGUUUUAUUUAUGGACUAGAUUUAAAUUUCUUUGUGG